AGUUUGAUCAUGGCUCAGAGUGAACGCUGGCGGCAGGCCUAAUACAUGCAAGUCGAGCGGCAGCACAGCAGAGCUUGCUCUGUGGGUGGCGAGUGGCGGACGGGUGAGGAAUACAUGGGAAUCUGCCCAGUCGUGGGGGAUAACGUAGGGAAACUUACGCUAAUACCGCAUGCGCCCUUCGGGGGAAAGCCGGGGACCGUAAGGCCUGGCGCGAUUGGAUGAGCCCAUGUCGGAUUAGCUAGUUGGCGGGUAAAGGCCCACCAAGGCGACGAUCCGUAGCUGGGUCUGAGAGGAUGAUCAGCCACACUGGAACUGAGACACGGUCCAGACUCCUACGGGAGGCAGCAGUAGGGAAUAUUGGACAAUGGGCGCAAGCCUGAUCCAGCCAUGCCGCGUGAGUGAAGAAGGCCCUCGGGUUGUAAAGCUCUUUUGUCCGGAAAGAAAAGCGCCGGGUUAAUACCCUGGUGUCCUGACGGUACCGGAAGAAUAAGCACCGGCUAACUUCGUG
Molecule: ribosomal RNA, 508 nt
Filed under: uncultured bacterium
Lineage: Bacteria
Description: bacterial SSU rRNA
Rfam family: Bacterial small subunit ribosomal RNA
Source: RNAcentral